Molecule: ribosomal RNA, 497 nt
Filed under: uncultured bacterium
Lineage: Bacteria
Description: partial 16S ribosomal RNA
Rfam family: Bacterial small subunit ribosomal RNA
Source: RNAcentral
GAUGAACGCUGGCGGCGUGCCUAAUACAUGCAAGUCGAGCGAACAGACGAGGAGCUUGCUCCUCUGACGUUAGCGGCGGACGGGUGAGUAACGCGUGGAUAACCUACCUAUAAGACUGGGAUAACUUCGGGAAACCGGAGCUAAUACCGGAUAAUAUAUUGAACCGCAUGGUUCAAUAGUGAAAGACGGUUUUGCUGUCACUUAUAGAUGGAUCCGCGCCGCAUUAGCUAGUUGGUAAGGUAACGGCUUACCAAGGCGACGAUGCGUAGCCGACCUGAGAGGGUGAUCGGCCACACUGGAACUGAGACACGGUCCAGACUCCUACGGGAGGCAGCAGUAGGGAAUCUUCCGCAAUGGGCGAAAGCCUGACGGAGCAACGCCGCGUGAGCGAUGAAGGUCUUCGGAUCGUAAAACUCUGUUAUUAGGGAAGAACAAAUGUGUAAGUAACUAUGCACGUCUUGACGGUACCUAAUCAGAAAGCCACGGCUAACUACGUG